AGUGAACGCUGGCGGCAGGCUUAACACAUGCAAGUCGAACGGCAGCACAGUAAGAGCUUGCUCUUACGGGUGGCGAGUGGCGGACGGGUGAGGAAUACAUCGUAAUCUACUUUUUCGUGGGGGAUAACGUAGGGAAACUUACGCUAAUACCGCAGACGACCUUCGGGUGAGAGCAGGGGAUCGUCGGACCUGGCGCGAUUGAAUGAGCCGAUGACGGAUUGGCUAGUUGGCGGGGUAAUGGCCAACCAGGUCGACGAUCCGUUGCUGGUCAGAGUGGAUGGUCGGCCGCACGGGAACUGAGACACGGUCCAGACUCCUAAGGGAGGGAGCAGUGGGGAAUGUGAGACAGUAGGCGGAAGCAUGAUCCAGCCGUACCACGUGGGUGAAAGAAGCGUUCGGGUUGUAAAGCCCUUUUGUGGGUAAAGAACAGCAGCAGGUUAAUACGCAGCUGUUCUGACGGUACCCGAUGAAGAAGCACCGGCUAACUUCGUG
Molecule: ribosomal RNA, 492 nt
Filed under: uncultured bacterium
Lineage: Bacteria
Description: partial 16S ribosomal RNA
Rfam family: Bacterial small subunit ribosomal RNA
Source: RNAcentral